GGGUGGAUGGCUGAGAGGUUGAAGGCAUCAGUCUUGAAAACUGAAGUUUUGUGAAAGGGACCGGGGGUUCGAAUCCCUCUCCACCCG
This 87-nucleotide transfer RNA is filed under the name Labyrinthula sp. RNAcentral describes it as "tRNA-Ser". It matches the Rfam family "tRNA". From Rfam's summary of the family: Transfer RNA (tRNA) molecules are approximately 80 nucleotides in length. Their secondary structure includes four short double-helical elements and three loops (D, anti-codon, and T loops). The record is from RNAcentral. Lineage: Eukaryota; Bigyra; Labyrinthulida; Labyrinthulaceae.